AUUGAACGCUGGCGGCAUGCUUUACACAUGCAAGUCGAACGGUAACAGGCCGCAAGGUGCUGACGAGUGGCGAACGGGUGAGUAAUGCAUCGGAACGUGCCCAGUCGUGGGGGAUAACUACUCGAAAGAGUAGCUAAUACCGCAUACGAUCUAUGGAUGAAAGCGGGGGACCGUAAGGCCUCGCGCGAUUGGAGCGGCCGAUGUCAGAUUAGGUAGUUGGUGGGGUAAAGGCUCACCAAGCCAACGAUCUGUAGCUGGUCUGAGAGGACGACCAGCCACACUGGGACUGAGACACGGCCCAGACUCCCACGGGAGGCAGCAGUGGGGAAUUUUGGACAAUGGGCGCAAGCCUGAUCCAGCAAUGCCGCGUGCAGGAAGAAGGCCUUCGGGUUGUAAACUGCUUUUGUACGGAACGAAACGGCUCUGGUUAAUACCCGGGGCUAAUGACGGUACCGUAAGAAUAAGCACCGGCUAACUACGUG
Molecule: ribosomal RNA, 482 nt
Filed under: uncultured bacterium
Lineage: Bacteria
Description: partial 16S ribosomal RNA
Rfam family: Bacterial small subunit ribosomal RNA
Source: RNAcentral